AGACUUGUUGCAACAGAUGGCUUUACCAGCGGCGGCUCGGCGGCGGCUGCACCGAGGAACUCUGGGACGCCGUUAGACAGAGAUAGAGGGAGAGAGGGAGAGAGGGAGGGGUGUUAGAAAGUCACGGCACUGGAAGGGAGCAGGAAGAACAGAGCGAGGGAGACUUCUUCGUCUUCUUCUUCUUCUUCUUCCUCCUCUUCUUCUUCGUCUACUCUCCCAGUGUUCCUCUGCAGACAGACAGGAAGACGUGUCGGGAAGUUGUGCAGCUGAGAGGAGCAACAGUUUUAUAGAGGAGAUGACUGUGAUCUGAGCCUUCCUCCUCCUCCUCCUCCUCCUCCGGCUCGGGGUCAGAGAGGAGAACACCUGCUGACAGCGAGGAGCUCCUGAGGGAGGAGACGCAGCAGCAGCAGGAGGACUGAACACGGCAGCAGACCGACACACCGAACAGGUAAACCUCCUCCUGAUAUGUCCAGUUGUGUAUUUAAGUUUUCCUUUUCUAACAACAACAAGUUUUCUGAAACACCACAAAGUUAACUCUGGUCAGAACCGUUACAGUUCAUAUGAGACGAUCAGAACAAAAAGAAGAAACAACCUUAAAACUUCUGAUCAUCUGAUUUUAUGAAGAUGUGAAAAAUCUGAGGAU
This 643-nucleotide long non-coding RNA is filed under the name Sparus aurata (gilthead seabream). RNAcentral's name for it is "lncRNA (ENSSAUG00010025970.1)". The record is from RNAcentral. Lineage: Eukaryota; Metazoa; Chordata; Actinopteri; Spariformes; Sparidae.